RNAcentral lists this transfer RNA (71 nucleotides) under Candidatus Wolfebacteria bacterium CG_4_9_14_0_8_um_filter_39_46. Its description in RNAcentral is "tRNA-Ile". It matches the Rfam family "tRNA". Rfam says of the family: Transfer RNA (tRNA) molecules are approximately 80 nucleotides in length. Their secondary structure includes four short double-helical elements and three loops (D, anti-codon, and T loops). Further hydrogen bonds mediate the characteristic L-shaped molecular structure. tRNAs have two regions of fundamental functional importance: the anti-codon, which is responsible for specific mRNA codon recognition, and the 3' end, to which the tRNAs corresponding amino acid is attached (by aminoacyl-tRNA synthetases). tRNAs cope with the degeneracy of the genetic code in two manners: having more than one tRNA (with a specific anti-codon) for a particular amino acid; and 'wobble' base-pairing, i.e. permitting non-standard base-pairing at the 3rd anti-codon position. The record is from RNAcentral. Lineage: Bacteria; Candidatus Wolfeibacteriota.
GGGCGCGUAGUUCAGUGGUAGAACGCUGCUCUUAUAAAGCAGAAGUCGAAGGUUCGAUCCCUUCCGCGCCC